Brassica oleracea var. oleracea is the source of this 441-nucleotide long non-coding RNA. RefSeq lists it as uncharacterized. Lineage: Eukaryota; Viridiplantae; Streptophyta; Magnoliopsida; Brassicales; Brassicaceae. The transcript is spliced from 2 exons. The record is from RefSeq and is a predicted model, not a curated record.
ACCCGACGGGUAUCCAGAAGAUGGCGUCUUAUGUUUUCAAUAACUACUACUUGAUGAACGGACAAGCUGACGAGGCUUGUAGUUUCUAUAACAACGCAGCUCUCACUUCCAUCAAUCCCAUAAGAGAGUGAGCAAUGGUCGAGUCGUGGACGACACUUCAGUGGGUGCAGGAGGACAAGCAGAUAUGAGCAGUAGCAGACGGGUAUCCAGCAGCUAGAUAUUGACGAUGACACGGAUAAUUCAUCUGUAGGCCACAAGCACAAGCUCGUUGACGAUGAUAAAAGUCCUAUUUUGAUGUCUCCUAGCUCUAAUAUCUAAAUUUCUGCCAUCUUUUGAUUUUUUUUUGUCCUUCCAAGUCAACCCACUUGGAGUGUAGGUUUUAACAUGUUUUUGGUUUCUUCAAUUGUAAUUGCAUUGUUAAUAUUGCUAUUAAGACGAUCA